UGGGGAAUCUUGGACAAUGGGCGCAAGCCUGAUCCAGCCAUGCCGCGUGGAUGAUGAAGGCCUUAGGGUUGUAAAAUCCUUUCGUGGGGGACGAUAAUGACGGUACCCCAAGAAGAAGCUCCGGCUAACUUCGUGCCAGCAGCCGCGGUAAUACGAAGGGGGCUAGCGUUGUUCGGAUUUACUGGGCGUAAAGCGCGUGUAGGCGGGUCGUUAAGUUGGGGGUGAAAUCCCGAGGCUCAACCUCGGAACUGCCUUCAAAACUGGCGACCUGGACUCAAGCAGAGGCAAGUGGAAUUGCGAGUGUAGAGGUGAAAUUCGUAGAUAUUCGCAGGAACACCAGUGGCGAAGGCGACUUGCUGGGCUUGUAGUGACGCUGAGACGCGAAAGCGUGGGGAGCAAACAGGAUUAGAUACCCCGGUAGUCCCUGAGCGGGCUGGCAAGGCGCAU
This 447-nucleotide ribosomal RNA is filed under the name uncultured bacterium. RNAcentral describes it as "bacterial SSU rRNA". It matches the Rfam family "Bacterial small subunit ribosomal RNA", at positions 355 to 825 of the family's 1533-position model. The record is from RNAcentral.